Molecule: ribosomal RNA, 497 nt
Filed under: uncultured bacterium
Lineage: Bacteria
Description: partial 16S ribosomal RNA
Rfam family: Bacterial small subunit ribosomal RNA
Source: RNAcentral
GAUGAACGCUGGCGGCGUGCCUAAUACAUGCAAGUCGAGCGAACAGACGAGGAGCUUGCUCCUCUGACGUUAGCGGCGGACGGGUGAGUAACACGUGGAUAACCUACCUAUAAGACUGGGAUAACUUCGGGAAACCGGAGCUAAUACCGGAUAAUAUAUUGAACCGCAUGGUUCAAUAGUGAAAGACGGUUUUGCUGUCACUUAUAGAUGGAUCCGCGCCGCAUUAGCUAGUUGGUAAGGUAACGGCUUACCAAGGCAACGAUGCGUAGCCGACCUGAGAGGGUGAUCGGCCACACUGGAACUGGGACACGGUCCAGACUCCUACGGGAGGCAGCAGUAGGGAAUCUUCCGCAAUGGGCGAAAGCCGGACGGAGCAACGCCGCGUGAGUGAUGAAGGUCUUCGGAUCGUAAAACUCUGUUAUUAGGGAAGAACAAAUGUGUAAGUAACUAUGCACGUCUUGACGGUACCUAAUCAGAAAGCCACGGCUAACUACGUG